This is a long non-coding RNA of Chiloscyllium plagiosum (whitespotted bambooshark), 1061 nucleotides long. RefSeq lists it as uncharacterized. The record is from RefSeq and is a predicted model, not a curated record. Lineage: Eukaryota; Metazoa; Chordata; Chondrichthyes; Orectolobiformes; Hemiscylliidae.
GAUAUGUCUCAAUCUGCACUUAACUGAGAGCCUUUGGGUAAGGGGAGCGUAGUCUCCUCUAAAAAAAAACACAGCACCAAGAUUCCAUCCAAAAUCCCAGGCUUUUUUUUAUUUCACAGGGAAGAAAUCUAGCACACAUAAUUAAAGGAGGCAGCGGCCAGAGGGGACUGUCUGCAAAAAAUAUUUGACGAAGGUAAAACGAAGAAAGGACUUUAAGUCUUUGUUCCCAGCAGCACCAAAAAAAAACCAAGAGGGAUUACAAGAUUUAAAAACAAUCCGGGCGCUGUGGGUUAAGAAAUAAUUCCAUUCCAAUAAUCCCAUCCGAUGACGCUCUGUGAACAUGCCAAACCCCUUCCAUCCUGAGCUCAGAGAACUGGGUGUCCAGGUGAUCUUACUUCUGUUUCCAUCUUUCCGACUCCAUUUCUCUCCUUGGAGUUCGACAUAUCGUAGGCCUGGUUAGUUUAGUGGACGUCACCAAGACUCGAAAGGUCACUAAUUUUAAGGCAAAAUUAAGAAGCUGCUCUUCUCAACACUGACACGAAUCCUGGUCUCCCGUCUAUUAUCCAAGAUGAGUAACUUUGCUCAGAUUCGGCAACUAACCUGACAACAUGAAUUCUCCCAAUCGACUUACCACACCAAGGUUCGGCAAAAGUCUCAUCUGCGAAAACUUACUCACUUUCCUAUUUAUUUCAAUUGAGAAUUAAAGAAAAGCACAUCUUAUCAGUAAUAAAACAUUUCGGGAUUUUGUUGAAAGAAUUAUGAUUUCAAGCACACUUUGAACUUCAAGGGCAAUGCAAUCAAUGGUUUCUUCAGCCUUCGCAGAUCUGCAGUGGCCUGGUACCCCAAACCAUCACAUAGUUUCAAGUUGAGCAAGACGUGACCACAUUGCAGCAGCAUUGCAAAUUAAUAAAGUCUGCCAACAGGUCUGGAGUAUGCUAGGUAAACUCUAAUAAGCAAAAUAGAUUCACUUGCUUUAAAAGCAAUGAUGCUUAGAAAAAUAUUUGGUUGGAUCAGUAUCAUGUAGAAUUUGAAAAUAACAAAAUAAAAUUUCUCAGUGUGAA